UUUAUACAAGACUGAGACUGCCUCUUGGCUACCUAAUUUAUACAGGAGAUGCAAAGUUGAUAUGAAAUGCGGAAAUACUUGAAGUAAAACCUCUAUGCAGAAAAAAAUCUCCUGCAUGGUUCCACAAAAAUGUUAUCACUUGUAACUUAAAAGGAUAUAAUAAAAAUAAUAUGUCCUAGUCUAUAUAUGGCACAUGUUGAUUAUCUUUUAUUGGACUACCAUGUUAGUACACCAGCACG
This 239-nucleotide long non-coding RNA is filed under the name Elaeis guineensis (African oil palm). RNAcentral's name for it is "long non-coding RNA (EGUI_LNC075876)". The record is from RNAcentral. Lineage: Eukaryota; Viridiplantae; Streptophyta; Magnoliopsida; Arecales; Arecaceae.